This 254-nucleotide ribosomal RNA is filed under the name uncultured bacterium. RNAcentral's name for it is "partial 16S ribosomal RNA". It matches the Rfam family "Bacterial small subunit ribosomal RNA", at positions 524 to 776 of the family's 1533-position model. The record is from RNAcentral.
UACGUAGGCAGCAAGCGUUGUUCGGAGUUACUGGGCGUAAAGGGUGCGUAGGUGGCUCUAUAAGUAUGGUGUGAAAUCUCCCGGCUUAACUGGGAGGGUGCGCCGUAGACUGUGCGGCUAGAGUGCGGAAAGGGGCAACUGGAAUUCUCGGUGUAGCGGUGAAAUGCGUAGAUAUCGAGAGGAACACCUGCGGCGAAGGCGGGUUGCUGGGCCGACACUGACGCUGAUGCGCGAAAGCCAGGGGAGCGAACGGG